This 273-nucleotide ribosomal RNA is filed under the name uncultured bacterium. RNAcentral describes it as "partial 16S ribosomal RNA". It matches the Rfam family "Bacterial small subunit ribosomal RNA", at positions 524 to 796 of the family's 1533-position model. The record is from RNAcentral.
UACGGAGGGUGCAAGCGUUAAUCGGAAUUACUGGGCGUAAAGCGCGCGUAGGCGGUUUGUUAAGUCAGAUGUGAAAGCCCAGGGCUCAACCUUGGAACUGCAUCUGAUACUGGCAGGCUAGAGUACAGGAGAGGGAAGUGGAAUUUCAGGUGUAGCGGUGAAAUGCGUAGAGAUCUGAAGGAACACCAGUGGCGAAGGCGACUUCCUGGACUGAUACUGACGCUGAGGUGCGAAAGCGUGGGGAGCAAACAGGAUUAGAUACCCCGGUAGUCC